CGGGAUGUGGCGCAGUUCGGUUAGCGCGCACGGCUGGGGGUCGUGAGGUCGCAGGUUCGAAUCCUGUCUUCCCGA
This 75-nucleotide transfer RNA is filed under the name Nonlabens spongiae. RNAcentral's name for it is "Stenothermobacter spongiae tRNA". It matches the Rfam family "tRNA". From Rfam's summary of the family: Transfer RNA (tRNA) molecules are approximately 80 nucleotides in length. Lineage: Bacteria; Pseudomonadati; Bacteroidota; Flavobacteriia; Flavobacteriales; Flavobacteriaceae. RNAcentral also lists the same sequence under 1 other name. The record is from Rfam by way of RNAcentral.